Molecule: ribosomal RNA, 292 nt
Filed under: uncultured bacterium
Lineage: Bacteria
Description: partial 16S ribosomal RNA
Rfam family: Bacterial small subunit ribosomal RNA
Source: RNAcentral
GUGCCAGCAGCCGCGGUAAUACGAGAGGCCCAAACGUUAUUCGGAAUCACUGGGCUUAAAGAGUUCGUAGGCGGCGCGGAAAGUGGGGUGUGAAAGCCCUCGGCUCAACCGAGGAAUUGCGCUCCAAACUGUCGCGCUUGAGGAAGCUAGAGGUAAGCAGAACUGAUGGUGGAGCGGUGAAAUGCGUUGAUAUCAUCAGGAAUACCGGAGGCGAAGGCGGCUUACUGGGACUUUUCUGACGCUGAGGAACGAAAGCUAGGGGAGCAAACGGGAUUAGAUACCCUCGUAGUCC